This 460-nucleotide ribosomal RNA is filed under the name uncultured bacterium. RNAcentral describes it as "partial 16S ribosomal RNA". It matches the Rfam family "Bacterial small subunit ribosomal RNA", at positions 338 to 795 of the family's 1533-position model. The record is from RNAcentral.
CCUACGGGUGGCAGCAGUGAGGAAUAUUGGUCAAUGGACGAGAGUCUGAACCAGCCAAGUAGCGUGAAGGAUGACUGCCCUAUGGGUUGUAAACUUCUUUUAUAUGGGAAUAAAAUGUUCCACGUGUGGGAUUUUGUAUGUACCAUAUGAAUAAGGAUCGGCUAACUCCGUGCCAGCAGCCGCGGUAAUACGGAGGAUCCGAGCGUUAUCCGGAUUUAUUGGGUUUAAAGGGAGCGUAGGUGGAUUGUAAAGUCAGUUGUGAAAGUUUGCGGCUCAACCGUAAAAUUGCAGUUGAAACUGGCAGUCUUGAGUACAGUAGAGGUGGGCGGAAUUCGUGGUGUAGCGGUGAAAUGCUUAGAUAUCACGAAGAACUCCGAUUGCGAAGGCAGUUCACUGGACUGCAACUGACACUGAGGCUCGAAAGUGUGGGUAUCAAACAGGAUUAGAUACCCUAGUAGUC